AGGAGCUAGCAAUGCUACGUGGAAUUGCAUGUCGAAAAUAUUUAAAAAGUCAACCUGCCAUCUCUCCUGCCCUGCUCGUCCAAGUUCCCACUCUAGUUCCAGUACUGGCAGGCUUCACCACUAUAUCCCAGCAGGGUCCUGCUUGGCAUGUUCUCCCAGGUAUCUUCUGAGAGGUUGUUCUCUCUCCACUUCUCAUUCAAGUCUGAAGAUGCUUACAGUCACCUGCAGUACUUCUAAAUCAGAUUUAUACCCCAUGGCAUAAAACAAAGCAACGUAGAAAAUCUCUGACUGCUCCAUAAUGCUGACUUCACAAAGUCCCCAGCCACCCACAGGAUCUCUCAAAGUUGUCAUCUGGAGGAUAGGGGAGCUUUGGGGAAAAAAUCAGAGCCCCUCAAUUACCAAUUCUGACAACUCUUAUUUUAGCUUGAAUCUCCCCAUGCAAAUAGACAGUUGACAUGUGAUUGGAGAAGAAAUAGAAGUAUGUUUCUAUUAAAACCAUGUUCCUUAAGUUGUCGCUCUGAAUUUAUAUCCCUCUGGCCUUUGCCAAGUUGGCUCUGGGCUAUAUUCUGUCCUGAAAUUAGAGCAUUCUUCUUGUAGCCCCAGGAGAUGCCUAAGAUCCUUGAAGAUGAAAACCAGACUCUGAACCAUAGCUUUGGGAAUUAGGGGAGUCCAAAGUGUAACUUCCCUAUGCAACAUGCUUGGGAUAACCCAGCUUUCCUUUGCACUUCUGAUUAGAGUUUUGAGAUGGAAGAGGUCACAGCUCCAAUGAUCUCAGCCGAAGAAGAUGAGGAAGAAGACCAGCACAAGUGCUCUCCAAGGAAUGUCUUCCUGCCCGGUGUCCUGGACAACUGCCUGUCUUUAGAAUUAACAAAUGCUCUGACUUGCAGAGUCUCUCUCAAAUCAGCUUUUGCUGGUAUCAGGAUUUCUCUGGAGGACUCAACAAAGUCCUCUCCAUGCCUGAGAUUCCUACAAUGAUUGAAAUUCCAUUGUUUCUUCCCCGUGGGUAUGUAUUUCUGCCUUUGGACGGACAACUUCAGUCCAGCUUUCACAUGUCCCUCAGAACCACUCUGUGCAGAUUGUGACCUGAUGCUUCUAACACACUGUCCUUCACCAGUCCCUAUGCCCUCAACCCCUACACUCUAUCAUACACAUCUUACUG
Molecule: long non-coding RNA, 1159 nt
Filed under: Mus musculus (house mouse)
Lineage: Eukaryota; Metazoa; Chordata; Mammalia; Rodentia; Muridae
Description: predicted gene 12519
Source: RNAcentral